RNAcentral lists this ribosomal RNA (492 nucleotides) under uncultured bacterium. RNAcentral describes it as "partial 16S ribosomal RNA". It matches the Rfam family "Bacterial small subunit ribosomal RNA", at positions 29 to 507 of the family's 1533-position model. The record is from RNAcentral.
AGUGAACGCUGGCGGUAGGCCUAACACAUGCAAGUCGAACGGCAGCACAGUAAGAGCUUGCUCUUACGGGUGGCGAGUGGCGGACGGGUGAGGAAUACAUCGGAAUCUACUUUUUCGUGGGGGAUAACGUAGGGAAACUUACGCUAAUACCGCAUACGACCUACGGGUGAAAGCAGGGGAUCUUCGGACCUUGCGCGAUUGAAUGAGCCGAUGUCGGAUUAGCUAGUUGGCGGGGUAAAGGCCCACCAAGGCGACGAUCCGUAGCUGGUCUGAGAGGAUGAUCAGCCACACUGGAACUGAGACACGGUCCAGACUCCUACGGGAGGCAGCAGUGGGGAAUAUUGGACAAUGGGCGCAAGCCUGAUCCAGCCAUACCGCGUGGGUGAAGAAGGCCUUCGGGCUGUAAAGCCCUUUUGUUGGGAAAGAAAAGCAGCAGGUUAAUACCCCGCUGUUCCGACGGUACCCAAAGAAUAAGCACCGGCUAACUUCGUG